This 352-nucleotide unclassified non-coding RNA is filed under the name soil metagenome. RNAcentral's name for it is "partial contains 5.8S ribosomal RNA, internal transcribed spacer 2, and large subunit ribosomal RNA". The stretch from base 1 to 120 matches the Rfam family "5.8S ribosomal RNA", at positions 35 to 154 of the family's 154-position model. The record is from RNAcentral.
GAUGAAGAACGUAUCGAAAUGCGAUAAGUAAUGUGAAUUGCAGAAUUCAGUGAAUCAUCGAAUCUUUGAACGCACAUUGCGCCCGCCAGUAUUCUGGCGGGCAUGCCUGUUCGAGCGUCAUUACAACCCUCAGGCCCCCGGGCCUGGCGUUGGGGAUCGGCGGAAGCCCCCUGUGGGCACACGCCGUCCCUCAAAUACAGUGGCGGUCCCGCCGCAGCUUCCAUUGCGUAGUAGCUAACACCUCGCAACUGGAGAGCGGCGCGGCCAUGCCGUAAAACACCCAACUUCUGAAUGUUGACCUCGAAUCAGGUAGGAAUACCCGCUGAACUUAAGCAUAUCAAUAAGCGGAGGA